Molecule: non-coding RNA, 118 nt
Organism: Coniella lustricola
Lineage: Eukaryota; Fungi; Ascomycota; Sordariomycetes; Diaporthales; Schizoparmaceae
Source: the annotation of a GenBank genome assembly
GGUCAGGUGGUGUAGUUGGUUAUCACGUCAGUCUAACAAUUUCAUACAUAUCUCCAAACAAAGAGAUUGGAUGAUUUGCGAGCACUGAAGGUCUCCGGUUCGAACCCGGGCCAGAUCA